Molecule: long non-coding RNA, 682 nt
Filed under: Equus asinus (donkey)
Lineage: Eukaryota; Metazoa; Chordata; Mammalia; Perissodactyla; Equidae
Description: lncRNA (ENSEASG00005024803.1)
Source: RNAcentral
GAAUCUCAGGGGUUUUAGAAACACACAAAGAAUAUAAAAUAUUCAAGAAAACACUCCAGAAUCAAAGGGCAUGAGUUUCAGAUUGAAAGGGCCACCAAGGGACCAACACAAUAGGUAUAUCACUGUGAAACUUCUUAACACUGGGGACAAAGGAAUCCUACAAGGUCACACACAAAGAAGGCUCUGGCCUUAACAGCAGCCCUGGAAGCUUGAAGACAAUGGAGCCACGCUAUCAAAGUUCUGAGACAAAGUGACUUCUUAUCUAGAAUUCCACACUUCAUCAAUCAAGGGUUGGACAUUUUCAGACAUGCAAGCUUUCAAAAUAUUUCCCUCUCAUGAACUCUCGGGAAGCUCCUGGAGAAUGUAUGUCAUCAAAAACAGGGAAGAAAGCAAGAAAUGAGAAGACACAGGAAAGAGUGGAAACUAGAGAGUUUCUGCUUCAAGAUGUUGAAACGGAGACUCCAAGAGGAUGGUUUCUGAGCGUGAGUCCUAGCGUCAGCUACCAUCAGCAGCAGCAGCACAGCACGGAGCCAGAUCUCGGGCGCAGACACUCAUGGAGAGGCCACAGUUUAAUCAGCAAGCUGAGGCAAACCGUGUUUCAGGAGAAUUCACAAUAUAAGGGUUUUGCUGGUUUGGAUCCUGGGUGUGGAGUUAGCACCACUCGUGAUGCCAUGCUGAGGUG